RNAcentral lists this long non-coding RNA (681 nucleotides) under Eptatretus burgeri (inshore hagfish). RNAcentral describes it as "lncRNA (ENSEBUG00000017360.1)". The record is from RNAcentral. Lineage: Eukaryota; Metazoa; Chordata; Myxini; Myxiniformes; Myxinidae.
AUUAAUAAAUGAUGUGGCUUGAGACUCAAAACGACUCGAGACUCAAAACGACUCGAGACUCAACCCUUAUUGGGACCUGUAUUCGAGACUCGACUUCCAAAUGGCUCGGAGAACUUUCUGCGAUUGAGAUCUCCAAUGCUCACCUGUAAAUCUCUGAUACUUUGAGAUUACUUGGAUUUGAACUUCACCUUUGAGCAAAACAAGACAACGGAAAGGACCACAGGCCCCUCCUUGGGAUGACCACCUCCGGAAGCCAAUUAUCUUGGUAGCGCAGCAACUUUUUAUCCCCGAUCACAUGCCGAUUCCGCCGAGGAUCCCAUGAAGCAUUGCUUGACCUUCAACGGUUCUGUUAUUGUUGUACAAAGAUGGAAAGUUUCUGCCCUCGACUCGACCAAGUUUGGGGUCAUUUGUGUGAAUUCUCACAACCUGGGAGCAACAGUUCCUUCCCAAGUCUUUCACGAACUGGCUGUCCAGUCCAUCUGACGUUUGACUGUUGCACGUGAUGUUUGGCCUGCUCUUGGUGAAAGACAUCUUCGAAACGUCCACCAACGACCAAUGCUGGCGGAUGGGCCCUCCGGCUUAACGUCCACACACAUCGUGAUGCCUCCUCGCCCUGCAUGCGGAGAACCAGGGUGGCAUCGGGAUUCCAGGGAUUCCCUGCAUGGGGAGAACCAGGGGGGG